RNAcentral lists this ribosomal RNA (429 nucleotides) under uncultured bacterium. Its description in RNAcentral is "bacterial SSU rRNA". It matches the Rfam family "Bacterial small subunit ribosomal RNA", at positions 917 to 1344 of the family's 1533-position model. The record is from RNAcentral.
GGGCCCGCACAAGCAGUGGAGCAUGUGGUUUAAUUCGAAGAUACGCGCAGAACCUUACCAACACUUGACAUGUUCGUCGCGACUUUAAGAGAUUAAAGUUUUCGGUUCGGCCGGACGAAACACAGGUGCUGCAUGGCUGUCGUCAGCUCGUGUCGUGAGAUGUUGGGUUAAGUCCCGCAACGAGCGCAACCCUCACUUUUAGUUGCCAUCAUUUAGUUGGGCACUCUGAAAGAACUGCCAGUGAUAAGCUGGAGGAAGGUGGGGAUGACGUCAAGUCCUCAUGGCCCUUACGUGUUGGGCUACACACGUGCUACAAUGGUAUCUACAACAGGAAGCAAGACUGCGAAGUUAAGCAAAUCCUUAAAAGAUACCUCAGUUCGGAUUGCACUCUGCAACUCGAGUGCAUGAAGCUGGAAUUACUAGUAAUCG